AUGAAUAGCACUGUCAGGAGAUAAUUUCUCAUGGUUGAAGAAAUCUUUUAUUCUGCAGGGAAGUGAAGUAACCUGGCAUUAUGGGCCUGUGCCAGAUUCUGCUGCAGACAAUGGAGUGAUUUCAGAGGCCACUGAGUCUGGAAGGAAGAAUGACAACCCACAAUUGGCUCAAAUGAGUCCUCCCAUUGCUCACUGCUGAUGUAAUGCAGCAGAAGAGGGCUGGAGCUCCCCAUGCCGUGGCAUCUAUUCAGCAGGCUCCCUUUUACUUGUAUGGGACAGAGAGCCCUGCACACAGGUGCCCCAUUUCCCAAGGAUCUUUUUAAAUGUGGGAGGAAGAAGUUCAAUGUGAAGAUACUCUCUAACCCUUCAAAGGCAAUCUGUUUUGAAGGCAAGAAUGAUGGAGUAAUGAGGGCAUGAGCAAUGACUUUGGAGACACAAGUUCUGUCCCCGUCUCUGCCCCUACUCUCUGCAGCACUACAGGAAAGCUCUUUGCUGUCUCGGUUCCUGAUCUGUGCAACAAGUGUGAGAGCACGUUCAAUCUCACUGUCGUGUUGUGAUAAUAAUACAGUAACUGUCCCAUGACUGGGAGCUGUGAUGACAGGAGGGGGAAGGCCACACACUGGCCUCAGAAAGGUUACACCAUAAGAUGAGAUCACCCAGAGAGAAUGUUUAGUUUUCCAAGACUGUGGAUAUAAGGAUGCAGGGGGGAGGUGCUUAGUCCUGGUUCUCAGAAGAACGGUGCUUUCACUAUCAGCUCUUAAAGAAAGCAUAUGAGGAAUCAAACUCAGUUGUUCAUCGUAUGAACAAGAUUUCUAAGCAGGAGAACUGACAGCCGAAUGCACACAGUGCCCUUCUUGUCUUGGCAGAAAUGUUGUCAACAACGUGAUGCAGUGGAUCUGUAUACCCUUAGAGAGGAUUCCUCUGCCCAAAUAAGAACAACUGAAAGCCAGGCAUGACUGCUCUGGGUUCCCUUUGCAGCCCUGAUUUAUUGCAUCCUAAGAUCCUUCAGACCUACCAUCAAGUCGCCAGCCCCAAAACACUCUCUCUGGAAACAAAACAGCUAUAAUGUGAAGAAAAAGAAUGAGUUUCAGGCUUCCAUCCCUCACCAUAGGGCUGCUGUGAUUCACAAGAGCCCACAGUGUUGCCUACAAUAUGAUAGGGGGUUUGGGUUUUGAUUUGGCUUGGUUUUGUUUUCCACUGCAUUAAAACAGCAGUAAUAACAGUGUCAUGGGACCAGCACCAAACAGAAGAAAUCCUGGCAAGUGAAGCUGUGCUCAUGUACGGCUCAAAAGCAACAAGGAAAGGAACUGUCCAGAGACUAAAGCAUUUUCAUGUUAAGACUUAUGAUUUAAUACUUGUUUAAGUUAAACAUUAAUAUGGGUAAAGUAACUUUCAAAACAGAGCCAGGGCAGAGUUGAUCCAAAAGUCAACAGAACAAAAGAGUCUGGAGAAAAACUCUGAGCCAAACCACUGAAGCUGAUAAUGUCUGGCAAGAACAUUCACCUCGGAGAAGAGCUUGAGGACAGCAAAACUCAGUACGAGACAGAAAUCAGACCUCGCCCCUUGCUGCCUGUCUCUGCCUUUAUUCUGACCAGAUGUGAAAGACUCAUGGUCUUGGAGGCCUGGGAUAUAAGCAGGCUGCAGGGUCAAUGAUUGCUUCUGCACUAAUGGAUUCAGCCUCCAGCCUGAGGUGCAGCUGACACAAGGACAGAAACCUUCAAGUGACUCUUUUUGGCCCAAACUGUAUUUACAGAGUUGAUCUUCAGCUUGCCAGCUAUUAGUUGUACUUCAGCAAAUUGGAGAUGCUUCCUGUCAUCCAUCAGUGUACCCAUGUUCCAUUAUUCUGGGCUAACAGCCUGUAAAAUGAAACAGCAAACAGAGCUUCAUUAAAACAAAGUAAGACACAUCCUCAGCUGGCAGGUUUGGGAGAUGAGGAAUCAAGCCCCAGCGGUUGCUCUUCCAGCUUCAUCUCUGAGGAUCUACAUGAGAAACAGGAUAAAAGUCCUCUCAGCUCUACGAACCUCAGUUUAUACAUUCAUCAAGUGGGGGCACUACUACUCAAGAGUCCUCAUAAGAACAUUAUGGAAAUGAAUUGCAGUUUAUACAGCAGUCUGUGACCUUGGGUUCUUCUCUGCAGAGCUGCUUUCCAGGACUCAGCACUUCUUGUUGAACUCAGGGAGGUUCCUGUCAGCCCAACUCUCCAGCCUGUCAAGAUGGCUCUGGAUAGCACCACUCUCUGGAAAUGGACUCGGACUUCGUGUGCUUGUUCCAUGGCUUACUCAGAUAGUCAUGCAGGAGCUGGGAAACAGUAGGAAGGAGCAAGGCAUGGAGCAAAGUAGAGUAUGAAAAAUAAGAAAGCCAUCCUUAAGUGGUGCAUGGAAACAGUGAUGGAUUCAAACGAUUAGCAAAACUAAUGAACAGAAAUCUGUCAUAUUGCUGGGCAAAAUGUCACCACGGUAUGUGACUACGAAUGACUCAAUUGCUCUUUAAAGGAAUGCUUGCGUCUCUCAUGAUGCUGGGAAUCCUAAUUGACUAAUACUUUCAAAGCACUUGGAGCUGCUCAGAUGAAAGACUUCCCCGAAUGCAAAGUAUUACUACAUGUGAGGUUCAUGUCUGGAGCAAGUUUUUAAAACAAACCAUAUGAAAAGCAGAAUUAAGAGUGGAAAUGCUGAUCCAGCCAUUAUUUACUUCCCAUCGGAGAGUGGGCAGAGGGUCUCCUUUUAUGUUGUUUAUUUCAAACAAACAACUCUGGGAAUCUCCCGUGGAAAAGAAAUGCAAAAACCCAUGCCCUUUCAUGGGUAUUUUUGGUUUAUCUCCGCAUGAAUCUGAAAUUCAUCAUGUGGAGAGAAUGUGGAGAAACAUUUUUUUCCCCUGUAUACACACUCACUUUCCCACAAUGAAUAAAACCUGUUUUCUUGCAGUGUUUGUCCACUUCUUCACCCAAGGGUAACAAAAUGACCCGGAAAGCAGGAACACCCUGUCCAUGAACCCUGCUGGAAAAUAAAUAAAUAUAAAUCCAUACAUUCAUAAAUAAAGACACAGAAAAAGAGGGAUGACUCGGAAGGUUCCCAGGAAAACCAGCUGUGUCUAAUGCCGCCACCAUGGACACACGAGCCCCAGAGCUCCUAAUUCCUCAGCUAUUGCUCAGCAGUGAGUCAGAAGCUGUCACUGGGUGACUCACAGCAACUCCAGAAUGCAGCUGAGCUUGUGUCACCGGGCAGGCAGGCUUCGGGGAGUCUGAGUGGGGCAGGGGGGGCAGUGUCCCUGCUGUUACUCUGCGCUCCAGUGACAGCUGCUGGUAUGCAGGCUGCCGUGGCAGAGGUGAUGGCACAUUCAGUUCUCCAAAGGCACUUUGCUUACGACGCCGUCAUCUUUUCCACCCUCCUUCCAGCACACACGCGUACACCUCACUCUACCUGAUUUAACUCUUCAGCUACGAAGAUUUCCCUGCUUGAGAUACGGCACCUAAGGAGGAGUUGGCUUUUGGAUGAGGCCCUUCUCUGGCUGUGUGGAAGUACUGAUCUAAAUCUGCACUGAAGGAGGCAGACAGCUACCACAAGAGGUAACGAAGCUUCUCCGUACCUCAGUUUCGGAACUGGAAUGAGCAAGGCAUUCACACCACACUUACCACAAGUUUUGGGAAAGGUCAUUCAUUCAUUUUCUUCUGCCACCCAAAAUUUUAUUACACUACAUCAGCAAACUGACAGUUGAACAGGUGACAGUUUGUCUUGGGAUAGAUGACAUCACUCUGCUCUUGUUGGUUCCAAAUUUGUUCCCAUAACACCUGGGUGCGCACUGAGCCCUUACAGACACUGCUAGUCAGUUGCCAAAGAAGAGGAGCGUAUCUGUGAGAUAUGCUUGCCUUCACAGCUCAGUUUCAGUGAAAUAUCCCAUGCUGCAUAAUAUGAAUAGACACAUCACCCAUGCACUGCUUCUUGAUGCAUGAUUUCAGGUGGUAUAUUAGGUAUAUUCCUUCCCAGGAAUAGUGGUGAUGCAUUGGCACAGACUGCCCGGGGAGUGAUGGAGUCACCAUCCAUGGAGAUGUGGCACUGAGGGAUGUGGUCAGAGGGCAUGACAGGAAUGGGCUGAUGGUUGGACCAGGUGAUCUCAGUGCUCUUUUCCAACCUCCAUGAUUCUAUGAUUUUUCCCAUGAAAAUGUUUUGGCCUUAGCAGGUCUUCAGAUUUUAGACCUUAUAUAUAUAUAUACAUAUAGAAUCACCAAGGUUGGAAAAGAUGCCCAAGAUCAUCUAGUCCGACUGUCCAAUUCAAGCCUCUCUCUUUUUUUCCAGCUAUUCCCUAUAUUACUGACUGCAGUGAUCCUGGAUACAUCUAUUUCGCUAUCAGCUUUGGCCAUGGAGUUUUUAAGAUUCUAAGGGAGUGUCUCCUUGUUGAAGAAGCACUCCCUUCAGUCUUUACUGCUUGCAGAUUUCACUGUGCUGUGAUGAAUUGCCUUGCUCAGCCCUGGAAAAUGAACAUAUUCAUCAGCAUACCUCACGCCAAUAGAUGUUAGUGGCAGUAGUAUGAAAUCCCUAAGGAUGGGCCUUUGCCUUGCUGCAUCCUUCCCUCCUAUUCUAUAAGUUACUCAAAUUAGUUCAUCUUUGAAGGCUCAUCAUUGAUGUCAAUCAGCCAUUUUGCCCAGUGCACCAUUUACAAUAAUCUAUGCUUUUCCCAAACAGUAAAUGGCAAUUGAUAAAGCAUUAAUUUUCCCAUGCAGCAUUCUCCCUGUGUUGAGAAUACCACUGGAAGCCUCCAAGAUUCUGCAUGGCUCCUCUGGCCUGUGCUGAUGUGCUGGCAGCUACUGCACGUUACAGCUGUAAGUGAUGGCUGUUCUGCUUUUGCCUUCUCAUUUAUACAGCCCCUUUGCAAUGUCAGAAAUCCCCGCUGUGACCUAAAGGAUUUCUCUUUGCCAAAAAAGAGCCCUCCUCUCUGGUACAGUGUUACGAUUGCUGUUUUCUCUCCCUCUUUUAUUAAAAAAAAAAAAAAAAAAAAAAAAAAAAAAAAACCCUCUCUGUGAUCUGACACAAGCUCUGGCAAUGUGUGCUGCAGAAGUUCAGAUGUUACCAGAGCCAGCUGUCCAUCCCCUUUGCCAAAAAUUCAUUUCCCAGAGCAGAGUCAGCAGAAGAGAAUACACACCCAGUCCCCAGCAGCCUCAGGGUAAAGCCCAGCUUCAGCUGAAACUUGUCUGGCCAUGACUUUAAUGAUAGGCAGCAGUUCUGAUUAGUAAAUGAUCACAUUGAUUAACAUUCCUUCACUCCAGUCCUAUGGCUGGGUCAUGUAUGCAGACUGUGCAUUGCCCUAACUGUUAUCCCCACCCUCUUCCAAUGUAUCUGGGAGAUGUCUCAGCAGACUACCUAGAUUAGUUGGCUUUUAUCCACUGAAGAUUUCCUACUCUUCUAUUAAGUGGCUUUUUAAGGUGUUAAUCACAGAAUCAUAGAAUCAUAGAAUGGCCUGGGUUGAAAAGGGCCACAAUGAUCAUUGAGUUUCAACCCCCCUGCUAUGUGCAGGGUCGCCAACCACCAGACCAGGCUGCCCAGAGCCACAUCCAGCCUGGCCUUGAAUGCCUCCAGGGAUGGGGCAUCCACAGCCUCCUUGGGGCAACCUGUUCCAGUAUGUCACCACCCGCUGGGUGAAAUCCUGGUUAAUCUUUGGUUUGCCUUAUGUCUGCAUAAGGCAAACACUCAAGAAAAAUGUCAGUACAAUCACUCAGGAAAAAUGCUUUAUGUUGGAAUCAUAGAAUCAUAGAAUCGCUAAGGUUGGAAAAGACCCACAGGAUCAUCCCGUCCAACCAUUCGCCCUUCACCAAUGGUUCCUGCUAAACCAUGUCCCUCAACACAACAUCCAAACGCUCUUUGAACACCAGAACAAAGUAAUCAAGUCAGUGAUACCAGUCUGUUAAAGAGAACCCCUGCUCGUGUAAACAAGAGGAAUACUGGUGGUGUGAGAAGAGCAAAGUGCAUCGUAUCAGUCAAAACUAUAGGCUCGCUGACUUCAAAACCGGUUGUCCUCUUUUAUUUUAAUAAUCAUAAGAGACUGAUAGUGUCCUAACAUCAGAUCCAGAGGUUUCUGCAAGAUUACCAUGGAGGUUAUAGAACCAAUGGAAGACUUGAAGAACAAAUGGAAGCUUUGCAGAUGUUUGUAUUGCCAAAAAGGGGUAUUUAAUGAAAAAGUAUUGCCGAGGACAGUUGUUUAAUGAGAAAACCAACAUUUUCUGCUGUACUUAUAUAAAGAGUGUGCUUUUAUGGUCCAAAAUGUAAGAAAUCUGACCCUUUUUUCUUUUAUCACUGCAUAGGACACAAAGCCUUGAUGCUGACAGAGGUUGCAUGUGGUUUUGCUGCAGGCCAGCAGUCAGCCCCAGCGAUACCAUCCAGCCCUGCCCUGCUGCCGACCUUUCCUGCCACUUCUCACUUUUCAUUUGUUUGCUUUCUUUAUCAGCCCUGGCCCUUGUCAAUACAAAGCACAGAACUGGGUGUGUGGGAGUUAGGGAGGAGGCUGCAGCCCUCUGUGAACUGUUAUUUUCGGACAGAGAUUGGCUGCAGUCAUUUAUCCCUUGCCAAAGAGUUUAAAAACGGCACGCUUGCUGAUCCAGGUGAUUUUACGAGGAGGUGGUGCCUGCCAUUUCCCAUCACAGCUACUGAUUGCUAAUCAUACAGCUGAUAUUAUACUGCGGACAGCUGAGUUAAAGGGAAUUCCCGUAAGAGCCUCAUGCCAUACAGAUAACAGUUUCUUUAAGAGCCUGAAAAUUCUCAGACAGGUGAAUUUUUCCGCUCCAGGUUGGAUGGGGCCAUGGGCAGCCUGAUCUAGUGGGUGGCAACCCUGCCCACGGCAGUGGAGUUGGAACUAGAUGGUCUUUAAGGACCCUUCAACCCAAGCCAAUCUAUGAUUCCCUGAUUCUGUGAUUCCUCUUACUACAGUUCAUGUUAGUGGCUUGGCUGUUAGGAAGAUAAUCCUUGGGAUUAGGGUGAGGACAGAGUCAUACAUAAAUAUAGCAAAUGGAAAACGCUCCACUUGUCAUUCAUAAAGCUCUCCUUCUAGGAACGGAGGGGAUGGCUGCCGGUCACAGAGAGCAGGGCAAACAUGUCUCCUCUGUGCAGUUUGGUGUUUUUUUCUGAUUUUGUAGUAGUCAGAAACUGCAAUUUUUUUGAAGUCGCCUUUUCACACAUCUAAAUGAAACCUUAAAAAUCAGUUUGGCUAAGAAGGUAGUGAGUAUGAAGUAUAAAUUAUCAUCCUUCAUUAGAAGCUUUUCACCCUGCUUUAUCCCUUCAUCGUAUAGACUCAUGUUGCCAUAGAAGAAGCAGCAAUGUCAGAACAUGACUUAAAAUAAUUCCACUGAUCAAGUGUUAAUUGCACUCUUGUACAAUCAAAGCAGACUGCUCAGGAACACGUUAAGCUUACCUUUGUGACAGCAAAUCAUUGCCAAACCCUCCUUUGGCCAAACUCUUCUGCAAACACUGUUAUAACAGUAAACAUUUUAUUGGCUCAGAGCUGGAAGGGACCAUUAAAACUCUGGUUACCAUAAAUUGUGACAUUUGUUGCACAGCAGCUGUACAUGUACAUGUUCCCAUUGCCACGGCAGAUGCAAGAGUGAAGUGGGUUAACCCAACUGUCUGUUCGCCUCAAGGUAACUCAGAUUGCUGCAGCGUAUUUUCACUUGUAAUUAAGCUGCCUCAAACUGCCCUCAGAGCAGCAGUGAUCGGGGAUGCGCAUGGAUGCUUCAGGUGGCACAAUCAUUUUACCCCUCAGUAACCUGUGUAAUGGCUUUUGUUCAUGGUCUGUGUCUUUGAUCGCCUUCUUGACUUCUUUAAUAUCACAAGGCAUUAUCAGGAUAUUUCAUCAUUUUGCGGGUUGCAAAGUCUCACUCAGCACCAUUUUUAUUAAUCCGUAGUGUUAAUGGAGUCUUUCAAUGGCAAAGAGUUUUCCAGCAAAAAUAAGGGAUCAGGACGGGCUUGUGGCCCAUUACUAGAUGCAAGGUCAAUUGUGCUCCUUCAAACGACAAUCUGACUUCUAAGGAAAAAGAUUAUGCCCAUACUUUCACCGUGUUAGAUGUAAAAAUGUACUCUUGCACUGUACUGAGAACUAUUUUUGCAUUAAAAAUGACUAAAAUGUGUAGCUGCAUCACAGCAGCAUUCUAGUCCUAUUGGAGCUAAUUGUGAAACCUGUAAUGCCUUCUAGCAGAGGAAGAUCAAAACGUAUGCAUAUAAACAAUACAGUGUUUAAAUAAAUCCAAGUUAUAAGCAUAUGUUUCACUAUAAAUUGAUUCUGUUGAUCUUAGAAAUCAAGAUGUCAAAUAAUGUGUUUUCCUCUCUGUACUGUCCAUUACUCUUCAGGUAUUUAGACACUGAGGGUCAUGCACAUGCAUUACAGGGUUAAUGCCAUGCUCAGGCCAUUAAUAGUAAGAUGGCAAGAAAACAGAAGAAAAAAAAAACACCAUUUAUGUGAGACAAGACAGGAGAAUUUAUUGACUGAAGUGUCUUUAUCUUCAUGUUCAUUUUUCAUUUUAAGAGGUGUAAGUAUAAACCAUCAUCAUUAUCAUUUAGAACCAAUCAAAGCCAGGAAUGACAUCCAAAGGUCUGAUUAAGGCUUUACUUGCAUGAUGCAGAUGGGUUUUGUCUUGAUGACAGAUAAAUCCCUCACUACUGAAGAAUAACAUCAUCAGAGCAGAAGUCAGGGAAAUAAACUGUGACAAAGAGAGCCAGUGAUAGAUGGCCAAGUGAGCAAGGGACUGACAGCAAGGACAUAUGGAUCCAGUUCUCAGCUCCAUCACUGUCUGAGUAUGUGACCAUGAACAAGAAGCCUGUGCAUAUUCCUUCAUCUGGAAUGUCCAUCAGACAAUAUGGACUUAGCACAAGAGCACGUUAGUAUUCCAGAAAAAGAUUUUGAAAUUUACCUCGUGGGACAGGCUGCAGUACUGAAGAUUUUUAAAGCCAUACAGGAAUUGGUGGUCUUGGGAUCAUCUGUGGCUAUUGGUCAGUUACCUGAUGUCUUGUAUUUGUUAGAGGUGAACAGAAGGAUUCUGUGACACUGCAUCCAGAGUUGACAUGUGAAUCCUUGUGGACUGAUGAUCAAGUAUACAAUUUCUUGUAGCUGGGAAAGGUUGGCAUGAUGCCUCAUCCUGGAAGCAUUCAAGGGUUGAUGGGGCUGUGAGACAACCUGGUCCAGAGGGAGGUGUCCCUGUCUAUAGCAGGGGGUUGGAAGUAGAUGAUCUUAAAUGUUUCUUCCAACCCAAACCAUUCUAUGAUUCUAUGAUCUUUGUAGAGCCUUCAAACCCCACUCGCUGUGUAUGCUGAAUAUAUUGAACCCAUACCUUCCUAGAAUCAUAGAACUUAUUGGGUUGAAAGGGACCUUAAAGCCCACCCAGUUCCAUGGGCUGGUUGCCCCCCACCAGCUCAGGCUGCCCAGGGUCCAUCCAACCUGGCCUUGAGCACCUCCAGGGAUGGGGCACCACAGCUCUCUGGACAGCAGUGCCAGGACCUCACCACCGAGUAAAGAAUCUCUUCCUAACAUCUAAAUCUCCCUUCUUUUGGUUUAAAGCCAUUCCCCCUUGUCCUCUCACUAUCAGACCAUGUAAAAAAGUUGGUCCCUCUCCUGCUAAUAAGCUCCUUUAAAUACAGGAAGGCUACAGUGAGAUCUUUCCGGAGCCUUCACUUCUCCAAGCUGAGCAAGCCCAGAACUUCUGCCUUGAGUAAAUGUUUAUCUAGAAUGCAUGUACUUUACCAUAUAAGCAUUACACUACAGAUACUCUCUCUCUAUACAUAUAUGCAUCUUUAUGUAUGUUUUAUUCAGCAACAUGGACAAGAAUACUACAGCAGAUGAAGAUGUUGUUGCCUUACGUAUGAGGAGCUCACCAUAACUAACUGUGGUCCAUUGGGCUCCAGAAUCUUCUACUACACUUAGUUUUUCUUGCCACUGUUUGUAGUAGGGAAAGGUCUUGAUCAAAUUCAUGGCCCCUAUUGUGGAAAGUCUUCCUGUGCCACAAUGAAUUUAAAUGAAAGUCUGCAUGAAUAGCUAGUAUACAGUCACUGCAAAAUGGAACAAACCAGCUGCACAAUGCCAAGAAUUGUCAAGGCAUGUGGUUUGGAAAACACUACAAUGUAAGUUUAUAGCUGCAGCUCAAUUCAUUUCCUGAGAGGAAAGAUAAUGCUGUAGAAGAAUAGACACUAUACGGUCCCUCUUUAUGUGGCAUUCAUCCGUUAGAAAGUUUAUUUCAUUGGCAUUCUUGUAGAUGUCAAACUGCUAAACGCAAGGCUGCAGCACAAAGAAAUUUCUUAAAUUACUGGGGGAAUAAAUUAGCUCUUAUAACAUGCUUUGAAAUUUCAAUUGCGUUCUGUAGCAAAAAGCAAGUCCCCGAGUGUGUAUAGAAUCCCAUUCCACGGACCAUUGUUUCCUUCCUGCUGCUGAAAAAUAGCUUAAAUAAAAUCCUACGAGUUUAA
Long non-coding RNA from Gallus gallus (chicken), 10427 nucleotides. The record is from Ensembl. NCBI's taxonomy places the organism in Eukaryota, Metazoa, Chordata, Aves, Galliformes, Phasianidae.